This 528-nucleotide ribosomal RNA is filed under the name Korotnevella heteracantha. RNAcentral describes it as "bacterial SSU rRNA". It matches the Rfam family "Eukaryotic small subunit ribosomal RNA", at positions 1214 to 1677 of the family's 1831-position model. The record is from RNAcentral. Lineage: Eukaryota; Discosea; Flabellinia; Dactylopodida; Paramoebidae.
CUUACCAGGUCCAGACACAGUUAGGAUUGACAGAUUGAAAGCUCUUUCUUGAUUCUGUGGGUGGUGGUGCAUGGCCGUUCUUAGUUGGUGGAGUGAUUUGUCUGGUUAAUUCCGAUAACGAACGAGACCUCAGCCUAUUAAUUAAAUAAAAAAAUAUAAGCAAUUAUAAGGGUUAAAUAAAAUUUAAUUUAAUAUUAUUUUUUAGUAUUAAAUUAUUUUAUUUAAAACUUGUUUAUAUUUAUUUUUAUUUUCUUAAAGGGACACUUGGUGUUUAACCAAGGGAAGUUUGAGGCAAUAACAGGUCUGUGAUGCCCUUUAGAUGUUCUGGGCCGCACGCGCGCUACACUGAUAAAAUCAAUAAGUUUUUUAAUUUAAUUCCUUAACUGAAAAGUUUGGGUAAACUUUGAAAAUUUUAUCGUGCUGGGGAUUGACAAUUGUAAUUAUUUGUCAUGAACGAGGAAUUCCUAGUAAACGUAAGUCAUCAGCUUACGUUGAUUACGUCCCUGCCCUUUGUACACACCGCCCGUC